Passer montanus (Eurasian tree sparrow) is the source of this 894-nucleotide long non-coding RNA. RefSeq lists it as uncharacterized. NCBI's taxonomy places the organism in Eukaryota, Metazoa, Chordata, Aves, Passeriformes, Passeridae. The transcript has 4 exons. The record is from RefSeq and is a predicted model, not a curated record.
CCAGCCCAUCAAACUUUGCUGAAAAUGAUGAGGCUUUGGGGUGGCAGUUUAGGCUGCUGGUGGUUGGAAAACUGCUCUAAUCGGGCUCCCAGGCUGAGUAGCUGUCACAUAUGAUCCUGUGGGGUUUGUGCCAAUUGGUGUAAGUUAUGGAAAUGUUUCAUCUUCUGAUAUUUGCUGCUGGGAUGCUGAAAGGGAAAUUUCAACCUGUCAAGUAACUGAGAAGGAGACAUCUACAGAGCCAGUCCUGCUCCCUCACCAGGAGACUUGCAGCAGCCUUGCUUAUCCCUGAGAGAUGCCAAGGUCUUAAUAAGGAUGGGGGGGAAGGAGUGCUUCUUUCCCACUGCAGAUCUUCCUCAUGGAGUCUCCUGGAAAGAGCUGCCAGAGUCUUUUAGAGGCAUCUCAACAGCAUCUACACUCUGAAGACAUCUACUGAAAGUGAUGUAGGUACCCAAAUCAGUUUGGGCUAGCCUGGCAUUUCUCCCAGUGUUCUGACUCAAAGAUGAAAUGUGUUGCUAUCGUUUGCAAGAUGUUCACAAAGCAACUCUGUACAAAAGGAGACUGUACAGCGUGCCACCAUUUGAAAUCUCUUUACAAUGUUUUUCCUUUAAAAAAACAAACCUUGGCAGCUACCAUCUACUCUUUUCUGAUUUGCAGCCAGCCAAUUAUAUCACUUAGAAUGCACUCAGUUAACAAGGAUGCAAGUUCAAGGCACUGCCUUUGUGUAGUUCUAGCUGUGCCUUAGGAAAAACUUACUUUUGUUUUCCCUUAUGUGUGUUUAUUUCCUCCACUGUUUUCAUUAAUCCCUCCUACAUGCAAUAGUUCCCUUGCAAACAUUAUUUUAGCAGUGACCUCAGAGUGUUCUGAACGCCUUCUAAAAGUCAGAUAUUAAAAGAA